Molecule: long non-coding RNA, 457 nt
Organism: Cavia porcellus (domestic guinea pig)
Lineage: Eukaryota; Metazoa; Chordata; Mammalia; Rodentia; Caviidae
Exons: 3
Source: RefSeq, a predicted model, not a curated record
CAGGAGGAGGAGCCGGACCCUGGGCCUCUGGUCUCCGAGCCCUGCCCUGUGUCCUCUGGGAGCCGUCACUGUGAAAAGCUUGAUUGAGGAUGUGGGGGGAAAGGCGGCUGGUGACCACUGGCCGUGGAAACCGCUGAGGCACAGUUUGAGACGGUGUGAGGGAAUCUCCCGCUGCUCCGCAGGGCCGAUGGGAGGCCAGCACCCGGUGGACGCUUCCUGUCCUGCUGGGGACGGAUGAUUGCAGCUUCUGUUUGCUAAAUGAAUGGCAAUCUCGCUAAAACAUCAUGUGCAAGGAAGGUCUGCUGAUGAAAAAUGCAGUUUUGAGAGGCCACUGUGCCCAGCCAGCAAGCCCGCGGGUGCUCCUCUUCCCGAAGGGGUCAUUGCCACCAUCUUCAGCUCCGACCUCCGAUGUGGGCAUUUUUAGCAUCUGCUCUGGAGUUGAGAGUUUCCCCAUAGA